This 20-nucleotide non-coding RNA is filed under the name Rattus norvegicus (Norway rat). Lineage: Eukaryota; Metazoa; Chordata; Mammalia; Rodentia; Muridae. The record is from RNAcentral.
CAAGAAGAAAAAAAAAGCUU